This 771-nucleotide long non-coding RNA is filed under the name Androctonus crassicauda. Lineage: Eukaryota; Metazoa; Arthropoda; Arachnida; Scorpiones; Buthidae. The record is from RNAcentral.
GUUUUAAGAGUUCUAUCAAUUUUUUCGUGAGUUUUUUUUUCCCUUCUCCCAAAAUCUUAAUUCGGUCCAAUCCUUUUACUAGUAAACAUUUUAAUUUAUUUCACUAUAAACUUAUAUCUAAAUUUUGUCAUGUUAAAUCCACCCAGCUGAAAAAUUGAUAGAGGAAUAAAUAGGUUCUUUGAAAUUGCAUUUUUGAAGGCAAACCAACUUAAAUCUUUUUCUCUUUUUUUUAUAACAGAAAAAAAGGAAAACAACACAAAACUCCAUUUUAGAAAAAGGACGAUUUGAAAAAAUCGAAUACUGUACUCAAAACACCGAACGCAGUACACAUUACCAUACAUCGUGUUUUGUGCAGAGAAAACGAGUGUUGAACUUUGCCUUUCGUUUCAACAUAUCUUCAUGCUACAUGCACCAUUUCUUCGGUCACGUGUCUAAUCGAUCGUACUUCUCAAGUUGUGACGUCAACUGUGACGUAACACCUUUUCUCCUGUUUGCUAUAAAAAAAAAAGUCGACGUCGAUACCAAGAAAGCUUCAAUCGAAACAUUGCCAUGUGUGGCUUCUCUCACACAAACCUCUUCAGACAAAGAAUUUCUAUAUUUUUUUAGGAAUUACUAAAGCUUAAAGAAUAUUUUUCUCUUCCUUCUAUUAUAAAAUCCAAAAUUUUCUCCUUAAUAGAAGUUCUACUUGUAUUUCAAUUCGUCCUAUCAAAGCAAAAAAAAAAAAAGGAAAAUUCAAAUUAUUUUUCUUAAUUUUAAAUAACUUAAUUUACA